CGGAAAUGGCGCAGCUACCAUGCAGUCGAGCGGUAGCACAGAGAGCUUGCUCUCGGGUGACGAGCGGCGGACGGGUGAGUAAUGUCUGGGAAACUGCCUGAUGGAGGGGGAUAACUACUGGAAACGGUAGCUAAUACCGCAUAAUGUCGCAAGACCAAAGUGGGGGACCUUCGGGCCUCAUGCCAUCAGAUGUGCCCAGAUGGGAUUAGCUAGUAGGUGGGGUAACGGCUCACCUAGGCGACGAUCCCUAGCUGGUCUGAGAGGAUGACCAGCCACACUGGAACUGAGACACGGUCCAGACUCCUACGGGAGGCAGCAGUGGGGAAUAUUGCACAAUGGGCGCAAGCCUGAUGCAGCCAUGCCGCGUGUGUGAAGAAGGCCUUCGGGUUGUAAAGCACUUUCAGCGGGGAGGAAGGCGUUAAGGUUAAUAACCUUGGCGAUUGACGUUACCCGCAGAAGAAGCACCGGCUAACUCCGUGCCAGCAGCCGCGGUAAUACGGAGGGUGCAAGCGUUAAUCGGAAUUACUGGGCGUAAAGCGCACGCAGGCGGUCUGUCAAGUCGGAUGUGAAAUCCCCGGGCUCAACCUGGGAACUGCAUUCGAAACUGGCAGGCUAGAGUCUUGUAGAGGGGGGUAGAAUUCCAGGUGUAGCGGUGAAAUGCGUAGAGAUCUGGAGGAAUACCGGUGGCGAAGGCGGCCCCCUGGACAAAGACUGACGCUCAGGUGCGAAAGCGUGGGGAGCAAACAGGAUUAGAUACCCUGGUAGUCCACGCCGUAAACGAUGUCGAUUUGGAGGUUGUGCCCUUGAGGCGUGGCUUCCGGAGCUAACGCGUUAAAUCGACCGCCUGGGGAGUACGGCCGCAAGGUUAAAACUCAAAUGAAUUGACGGGGGCCCGCACAAGCGGUGGAGCAUGUGGUUUAAUUCGAUGCAACGCGAAGAACCUUACCUGGUCUUGACAUCCACAGAACUUACCAGAGAUGGUUUGGUGCCUUCGGGAACUGUGAGACAGGUGCUGCAUGGCUGUCGUCAGCUCGUGUUGUGAAAUGUUGGGUUAAGUCCCGCAACGAGCGCAACCCUUAUCCUUUGUUGCCAGCGGUUCGGCCGGGAACUCAAAGGAGACUGCCAGUGAUAAACUGGAGGAAGGUGGGGAUGACGUCAAGUCAUCAUGGCCCUUACGACCAGGGCUACACACGUGCUACAAUGGCAUAUACAAAGAGAAGCGACCUCGCGAGAGCAAGCGGACCUCAUAAAGUAUGUCGUAGUCCGGAUUGGAGUCUGCAACUCGACUCCAUGAAGUCGGAAUCGCUAGUAAUCGUAGAUCAGAAUGCUACGGUGAAUACGUUCCCGGGCCUUGUACACACCGCCCGUCACACCAUGGGAGUGGGUUGCAAAAGAAGUAGGUAGCUUAACCUUCGGGAGGGCGCUACCACUUGAUCCGGGCU
This 1442-nucleotide ribosomal RNA is filed under the name Klebsiella pneumoniae. Its description in RNAcentral is "bacterial SSU rRNA". It matches the Rfam family "Bacterial small subunit ribosomal RNA". The record is from RNAcentral. Lineage: Bacteria; Pseudomonadati; Pseudomonadota; Gammaproteobacteria; Enterobacterales; Enterobacteriaceae.